AGCUUGUCCAUGUCCAGGGGCUCCACCACGGCUCUGGGGGGUACUAGCCUUCCGGAUCGGUGGAUUGCUGAGUGGGCAGAGACCAGCGGUACUCUGCUCUGGUGCCAGCGCUACCACGGGAGUAGCCUGGUUGGAGCCCAGCUGAGGAGAAGGGUUAGUAGGCUCCUCCCUCUGGACCUGGUGUUGCUGCUGGAGGGGAAGACAGGCUGUCUCCCCUUUGGAUAUACAGCCCUGCUGCUAGGGGACAGGACCAACCGUCCCUACCCCCUGUGGUUUGGGCACAGAGACCACGGUCCCAUCUG
Non-coding RNA from Pelobates cultripes (western spadefoot toad), 302 nucleotides. The record is from the annotation of a GenBank genome assembly. Lineage: Eukaryota; Metazoa; Chordata; Amphibia; Anura; Pelobatidae.